AUUGCACAGACAACCAGGAUGUUGGCUUAGAAGCAGCCACUCAUUUAAAGAGUGCGUAAUAGCUCACUGGUCGAGUGAUCCUGCGCCGAAAAUUUCCGGGGCUAAAACGUACUACCGAAGCUACGGCAUCAUUUAUGAUGGGUAGGGGAGCUUCGUAUGCAGGCUGAAGCAUGACCGUAAGGACAUGUGGACAGUAUACGAGUGAGAAUGUUGGCAUGAGUAGCGAGAUGUGGGUGAGAAUCCCACAGGCCGUAAACCCAAGGUUUCCAGGGGAAGGUUCGUCCGCCCUGGGUUAGUCAGGACCUAAGCCGAGGCCGAAAGGCGUAGGUGAUGGACAACAGGUUGAUAUUCCUGUACCACCAAUAACCGUUUGAGAAAUGGGAUGACACAGUAGGAUAAGCUAACCGCACUGUUGGUUAUGUGCGGGCAAGUAUUGAGGCAGUUCCGAUAGGCAAAUCCGUCGGAAUAAUGCUGGGGUACGAUGCGGAGCGAAAUUUAGUAGCGAAGUAGCUGAUUUCACACUGUCGAGAAAAGUCUCUAUCGAGGUUAAAGGUGCCUGUACCGCAAACCGACACAGGUGGGUGAGGAGAGUAUCCUAAGGCCAGCGAGAGAACUGUUGUUAAGGAACUCGGCAAAAUGACCCCGUAACUUAGGGAGAAGGGGUGCCUUCGAAAGAAGGCCGCAGAGAAUAGGCCCAAGCGACUGUUUACCAAAAACAUAGGUUUCUGCUAAGUCGCAAGACGAUGUAUAGGAGCUGACGCCUGCCCGGUGCUGGAAGGUUAAGGGGAUCUGUUAGAGCAAUCGAAGCAGUGAACUUAAGCCCCAGUAAACGGCGGCCGUAACUAUAACGGUCCUAAGGUAGCGAAAUUCCUUGUCGGGUAAGUUCCGACCCGCACGAAAGGCGUAACGAUUUGGGCACUGUCUCAACAACAGACUCGGUGAAAUUGUAAUACCGGUGAAGAUGCCGGUUACCUGCGACAGGACGGAAAGACCCCAUGGAGCUUUACUGUAGCUUGACAUUGAGUCUCGGUGCUACAUGUACAGGAUAGGUGGGAGACUAUGAAGCAUGGACGUCAGUCUGUGUGGAGUCAUCCUUGGGAUACCACCCUUGUAGUACUGGGAUUCUAACCAGAGGCCAUGAAUCUGGUCUUGGGACACUGUCAGGUGGACAGUUUGACUGGGGCGGUCGCCUCCCAAAAAGUAACGGAGGCGCUCAAAGGUUCUCUCAGUACGGUCGGAAAUCGUACGAAGAGUGUAAAGGCAAAAGAGAGCUUGAUUGCAAGACAUACAGGUCGAGCAAGGACGAAAGUCGGACUUAGUGAUCCGGUGGUUCCGCAUGGAAGGGCCAUCGCUCAACGGAUAAAAGCUACCCUGGGGAUAACAGGCUGAUCUCCCCCAAGAGUCCACAUCGACGGGGAGGUUUGGCACCUCGAUGUCGGCUCAUCACAUCCUGGGGCUGUAGUAGGUCCCAAGGGUUGGGCUGUUCGCCCAUUAAAGUGGUACGCGAGCUGGGUUCAGAACGUCGUGAGACAGUUCGGUCCCUAUCCGUCGCAGGCGUAGGAAAUUUGAG
RNAcentral lists this ribosomal RNA (1570 nucleotides) under human gut metagenome. Its description in RNAcentral is "bacterial LSU rRNA". It matches the Rfam family "Bacterial large subunit ribosomal RNA", at positions 1080 to 2666 of the family's 2925-position model. The record is from RNAcentral.